UACGUAGGGUGCGAACGUUGUUCGGAAUCACUGGGCAUAAAGGGCGCGUAGGCGGUCCAUUAAGUCGGAUGUGAAAUACUUCGGCCCAACCGGAGAACUGCAUUUGAUACUGAUGGGCUAGAGUGCAGGAGGGGAGAGUGGAAUUCCUGGUGGAGCGGUGAAAUGCGUAGAUAUCAGGAGGAACGCCGGUGGCGAAAGCGACUCUCUGGCCUGCAUCUGACGCUGAGUGCGCGAAAGCUAGGGGAGCAAACGGGAUUAGAUACCCCGGUAGUCCUAGCCCUAAACUAUGGGUACUAAGUAGGGGAGGUUCCGAACCUUCCCUGCCGGAGCUAAUGUAUUAAGUACCCCGCCUGGGGAGUAUGGUCGCAAGGCUAAA
RNAcentral lists this ribosomal RNA (376 nucleotides) under uncultured bacterium. Its description in RNAcentral is "bacterial SSU rRNA". It matches the Rfam family "Bacterial small subunit ribosomal RNA", at positions 524 to 898 of the family's 1533-position model. The record is from RNAcentral.